Molecule: non-coding RNA, 79 nt
Organism: Pachysolen tannophilus NRRL Y-2460
Lineage: Eukaryota; Fungi; Ascomycota; Pichiomycetes; Alaninales; Pachysolenaceae
Source: Rfam
CCUAAUAAUCCAUUAUUUGAGCUCAAUAUAGCAUGCAUUAGAAGUAAUUCUUUUGUUUGAAGCCUAUAUUAUUUAUAUC